UGUUUCUUAGUCCUUUUCUAAAGAAAUCAAUUCCCAGCUAACUCUCCCUUCUUCCUUGUCUUUUCAGGUCCCGUGUGAGAAAUGAAGUUCCCUUGAACGGGGUGCAUGAGGAGAAUUGAAGUUCACUUGAACCGUAUUCAUGAGCAUAAAUAAAAUAUUGAAACGGACAUAACCAAGUGUUCUUUAAGCGCUUAGAUGGCGUUACGGCUUCUGAAGAACUAGGAAAAGAAUAAUAGUUACUUCCAUGCAUAUGCAGUGAAGAGAAGAAGAAACAGAGGGAGUGAAGAAAGCCAAUAGCCAUCAUUCAAAUGAACGUUGUAAAAGUACUGGCAAAUUGCAAGAGUGCCGGAAGAGUGUGGUUCGAAGUGUGCUCAAGUCUUGUGGGGCACUUCAGCAGUUGAGAGAGCUUUCAGUAUCCCAAGUGUGGUGUCUUGUGCUGCAGUGUCGAGCAACGUUCCUCCCUUCUGAUUUCAUGUUUUUUUAUUUAUUUUUUGUUUUAUUUUGUUUCCUAUUCCAAACCAGAUU
Prunus avium (sweet cherry) is the source of this 525-nucleotide non-coding RNA. The record is from RefSeq and is a predicted model, not a curated record. Lineage: Eukaryota; Viridiplantae; Streptophyta; Magnoliopsida; Rosales; Rosaceae.